Molecule: ribosomal RNA, 253 nt
Filed under: uncultured bacterium
Lineage: Bacteria
Description: partial 16S ribosomal RNA
Rfam family: Bacterial small subunit ribosomal RNA
Source: RNAcentral
UACGAAGGGGGCUAGCGUUGUUCGGAAUUACUGGGCGUAAAGCGCACGUAGGCGGACAUUUAAGUCAGGGGUGAAAUCCCGGGGCUCAACCCCGGAACUGCCCUUGAUACUGGGUGUCUGGAGUCCGGAAGAGGUGAGUGGAAUUGCGAGUGUAGAGGUGAAAUUCGUAGAUAUUCGCAGGAACACCAGUGGCGAAGGCGGCUCACUGGUCCGGUACUGACGCUGAGGUGCGAAAGCGUGGGGAGCAAACAGG